Molecule: ribosomal RNA, 664 nt
Filed under: uncultured Lactobacillus sp.
Lineage: Bacteria; Bacillati; Bacillota; Bacilli; Lactobacillales; Lactobacillaceae
Description: bacterial SSU rRNA
Rfam family: Bacterial small subunit ribosomal RNA
Source: RNAcentral
GAGUUUGAUCAUGGCUCAGGAUGAACGCUGGCGGCGUGCCUAAUACAUGCAAGUCGAGCGAGUUCGCGUUUCGAUCUGAAGGUGCUUGCACUGGAAGUGACAAACAUUUGAACGAGCGGCGGAUGGGUGAGUAACACGUGGGUAACCUGCCCUUAAGUGGGGGAUAACAUUUGGAAACAGAUGCUAAUACCGCAUAAACCCUAGCACCACAUGGUGCUGGGUUGAAAGAUGGCGUAAGCUAUCGCUUUUGGAUGGACCCGCGGCGUAUUAGCUAGUUGGUAAGGUAACGGCUUACCAAGGCGAUGAUACGUGGCCGAACUGAGAGGUUGAUCGGCCACAAUGGGACUGAGACACGGCCCAUACUCCUACGGGAGGCAGCAGUAGGGAAUCUUCCACAAUGGACGCAAGUCUGAUGGAGCAACGCCGCGUGAGUGAAGAAGGCUUUCGGGUCGUAAAACUCUGUUGUUGGAGAAGAACGGUCGGCAGAGUAACUGUUGUCGGCGUGACGGUAUCCAACCAGAAAGCCACGGCUAACUACGUGCCAGCAGCCGCGGUAAUACGUAGGUGGCAAGCGUUAUCCGGAUUUAUUGGGCGUAAAGCGAGCGCAGGCGGUUUUUUAAGUCUGAUGUGAAAGCCUUCGGCUUAACCGAAGAAGUGCAUCGGA